GCGAAAGUGGCGGAAUUGGUAGACGCGCUAGCUUCAGGUGUUAGUACCGCAAGGCGUGAGGGUUCGAGUCCCUCCUUUCGCACCA
Molecule: transfer RNA, 85 nt
Filed under: Candidatus Avisuccinivibrio stercorigallinarum
Lineage: Bacteria; Pseudomonadati; Pseudomonadota; Gammaproteobacteria; Aeromonadales; Succinivibrionaceae
Description: tRNA-Leu
Rfam family: tRNA
About the family: Transfer RNA (tRNA) molecules are approximately 80 nucleotides in length.
Source: RNAcentral